AUUCGGUAUAAGGGUAGCCACUCUGUUUUCCGCAAUGAUGGUUCCUCUUCUACUUCCGGUGCUUUCUAUUUGCACAGUGUUUGGAGAUCGUUUUACAUUUUUAUGAAAUCCAGCAUUGAAAUGCCAAUCGCUCGCAAGCUUUCAACACUGUCGAGGAUAUCUGAUAAACCUGAUUACCACUGUGAAACAUAUUUUUCAAGGUUAAAUACCACGGUGCCCUGUUGAAACGAAAUUGCAGUAGGACAAUGGAUAAUUAAUCUUCCUUAUUAGAGGACAAUUUUCCCCCAAGGAUCCGGAAAUACGCUCGCACGUAGAAGGUUGUAUAAAACACGUAUAAGUUACGCGCUAAUAUAGACUGCUAGCACAUGGCGGUAUAGGUAGAAAAGCGGUGGCGAAGUAAAAUAAUCAAUGAAGAGGCGAACGGGAUCAGGAGGGAGAAAGCGAAAGAGCUUUAUACGUUCGCGCCCACGCGGACCUACGGGCUCGUUAUCCCGUGUUGUUUUUUAUUCUUCCUGCCGUAUACAUUACCGAGACCUUGCUAGGAAUUGUGCCGAAUCCGCCUAUUUUAUCAUUAGAAACGGGAAAAGGUAAUGGAGCAUAGAACCAUGAUCAAAUAUUCUCUCAGACACAUCGGACCCAAUUAAUGGAGCAUACGUCUCCUAAUUUAAUAUUCCAUUAAUUAUGCAAACCUUUCUUAAGGUUUACGUUGUUCUAACUGGUUCAAUAUUUCAGGUGAUAUGCAACUGCAAUGAAAAUCACGUAGAAGCUGACGUCGUAUGAUUCCUCUUUCUCUAUCAACGAACGGCUCGCGUGCUUCUCAAUGAACCGACCUUUAAUGCACGCGCACGGAAUACAAGACAGUAGUUCAUUGAUUUUAGAGAGGUUGCGAGGUGUAACGACGCCGGCCAGAGAAGUUUAACGUUCUCACCGUCAGACUGAAGAACGCGAUUCUCCUCGUUCUGGUCUAACGAACUGGAUAGCUUGCAAGUCUGCGCUUUUUUCCACGAAUUCACUCUCUGCGCCCCGUCGUCCAGCCUACGCGACCAUUUAAUUACUUUCAUCGACGGAAGUCGGCAUUUACGACGGCUGCUCGUCGCCAAUUCAUACUAAUUCGGUGAACGAACCAGGGUGAUAAGUUCGAAAACUUGGAUGAAAGACAAAGAACAAGAUCAGAACGUACUAUUAUGAAAUAUCACUGGAUUGAAAUAUCAGUGAAAUAGAGGCUAAUCGCGCCGAAAUGAAGAACAAUAGAAUUAGAGUAAUCAAAUUUCUUAACUGAAUUGAAGCUCGUCUGACAAUUUGAAAUUGUUAGCUUUGGAAGUUAGUAAAUUUCCAUUAUCGAAAAGGAAUGAACGAAAUGUUCAAACACGAUGCUUGUAACAAGGCAGAAAUUGCAACGUAACGCGUAUCUGGCUUUUAAAGAUAAACGAUAGUCGUCUGUUCAAGCUUUACGAUCUCCAGAACCGAUUGUAAAAGUUGAAUGCCUGCAUUUCGUGCUGCUUAUCAUAUUGUUUGCCAUAUCUUUGUUCAGAUUAUAUAGAAAGAAAAAAAUGAAAAUUAUCGCGAUAAUUCUUCGAGGUGAAUGGAAAAUAAUCAAUGAGAGAAUCAUUGAUUAGAUACUCAGGCUGUAUUCGAAGCAAAGCUAUAUGAGAUUAAAAAAUAAAAUACCUAGAUGUCCGAUAAAAUUGCUCGGAUUCGCUUAAUUAGCCAGCUCAGACGGUCUAUUUUCUUUGACGAUCGUGCUAAAAUAUUCAUUGUGCUAUUAGCUGAAAGAGAUAUAUUUACCCGUACACCAAUGUUAGCCGUCUAAGUCUUUCCAGGAUUAAUAAUAAAUCAUGGAAUCACUUUUAGACGGGACUAAAAUUCUCUCUUUAAACGUGUAUCAUUGAUUUUCAAAGUACUUCUUUUGGGUUCGAUAAAUUAUUCACUUUCUAUUGUAAUAGCAAGUUUGUUUUUGUAAAUUAAAUGGGAAAUGCUAUAUUCGUUCGAAUCGAAUCAAUAAGAAAUUAUACUUAUCGCUUGAAGGUAAUUUAUUAGCUAGGGAUAUUCUAUUUUACCGACUGCUGUAGAUGGAGCUUAUUGUCGAGUUUUCAUUUUGCAACCGACUAAGCUGACUUUGAUUUUAAAUUUUGAUAAAAAAUCUUUUCUUUUCUGAAAAGUAUUAACUAUUACUUACAUGAUUAGGUAACUGGAGAAUGAGGAGUAUUAAAAUUGGAAAGUAGAUUUGAUAAAAA
Osmia lignaria (orchard mason bee) is the source of this 2234-nucleotide long non-coding RNA. RefSeq lists it as uncharacterized. The record is from RefSeq and is a predicted model, not a curated record. NCBI's taxonomy places the organism in Eukaryota, Metazoa, Arthropoda, Insecta, Hymenoptera, Megachilidae.